UGUAUCUGAAGUCUGACGAGGAUGAGAACCUCCGGAGGCAAGAGGUUCGACCCGAGCGAAGCGAGAGAACGUUGCGUCAGCAACGGCCCGCAGGGCGAGCCACGCAGUGGCGAGUCAUCCUCUAUCACCGGCAG
RNAcentral lists this small RNA (134 nucleotides) under Salmonella enterica. RNAcentral's name for it is "RtT sRNA". It matches the Rfam family "RtT RNA". Rfam says of the family: This family represents a bacterial cis-regulatory element known as RtT RNA. The exact function of RtT is unknown although it is thought that it may be involved in changing the cellular response in relation to amino acid starvation. Lineage: Bacteria; Pseudomonadati; Pseudomonadota; Gammaproteobacteria; Enterobacterales; Enterobacteriaceae. RNAcentral also lists the same sequence under 5 other names. The record is from RNAcentral.